Calypte anna (Anna's hummingbird) is the source of this 364-nucleotide long non-coding RNA. RefSeq lists it as uncharacterized. The record is from RefSeq and is a predicted model, not a curated record. The transcript is spliced from 3 exons. NCBI's taxonomy places the organism in Eukaryota, Metazoa, Chordata, Aves, Apodiformes, Trochilidae.
AUUGUUGAAGAAAUGUUUGCAUCCUUCAUCCUGGAGUACACCACUAGAAAUAGCUGGGUGGUGUAGCCCUAGAUGGGAGUUACCCGAAGUACCGGAGUGCCCGGUUCAUCCAUCACCGUCGGUCCCAGCGCUGCCAGCGGCCGCCCCGGGGUCUUCCAAUGUUUCACCAGAAAAAGCCAAUUUGGGCUCUGGGUACAGGCAGAGAGGUUCCCUACAGGAAAACUCCUUACACAGAGACUGAGGGCUCAGUUGGUGCCUGAAAAAUGAGUCACAUGUUAGGAAAGCUGCAAAACUUUGACCUAACAGCCACUGCAUCUUCUGCACCCAUUUAAAGCACUGUGGUUCUUCCUCAGCUGGCAGGUCA